Molecule: small nuclear RNA, 152 nt
Filed under: Piliocolobus tephrosceles (Ugandan red Colobus)
Lineage: Eukaryota; Metazoa; Chordata; Mammalia; Primates; Cercopithecidae
Description: U4 spliceosomal RNA (ENSPTEG00000038499.1)
Rfam family: U4 spliceosomal RNA
About the family: U4 small nuclear RNA (U4 snRNA) is a component of the major U2-dependent spliceosome. The structure of U4 snRNA from yeast and human has been reported.
Source: Rfam by way of RNAcentral
AGCUUUGUGCAAUGGCAGUAUUGUAGCCAAUGAGGUUUAUCUGAGGUGCGAUUAUUGCUAAUUGAAAACUUCUCCCAAUACCCCACCAAUACCCCACCAUAAUGACUUGAAAUAUAGUUGGCAUUGGCAAUUUUUGACAGUCUCUAUGGAGA